GACGAACGCUGGCGGCGCGCUUAACACAUGCAAGUCGAACGGAAAGGCCCUGCUUGCAGGGUCCUCGAGUGGCGCACGGGUGAGUAACACGUGGGUGCUCUGCCCUGCACUUCGACAUCAGCCUGGGAAACUGGCUCUAAUCCCGGAUAGGAGCCAUUUUUAGUGUUAUGUUUGGACAGUUUUUUCUGUGUAGGAUGAGCUCGCGGCCUCUCAUCUUGCUGGUGGGUGCAUGGCCUCCCAAGGCGGCGACGGGUAGCCGGCCUCGGAGGGUGGACUGCCACAUUGAGACUGAGAUACGGCCCAGACUCCGACGGGAGGGAGAAGUGGGGAAGAGUGCACGAGGAGAGCAAGGCUGAUGCAGAGGCGCCGCGGGGGGGAUGACGGCCUUCGGGUUGUAAAAUCCAUGCGCUAGGGACGAAGCUUUUUGUGACGGUACCUAGAGAAGAAGCACCGGCUAACUACGUG
RNAcentral lists this ribosomal RNA (465 nucleotides) under uncultured bacterium. RNAcentral describes it as "partial 16S ribosomal RNA". It matches the Rfam family "Bacterial small subunit ribosomal RNA", at positions 28 to 507 of the family's 1533-position model. The record is from RNAcentral.